This 12577-nucleotide long non-coding RNA is filed under the name Zea mays. RNAcentral describes it as "long non-coding RNA (ZMAY_LNC003967)". Lineage: Eukaryota; Viridiplantae; Streptophyta; Magnoliopsida; Poales; Poaceae. The record is from RNAcentral.
CAAAAUGGUUACAAGUUACAACAUUUACAAGUUAUAACAAGAUUACAAUAUAUAUCAUCGAAGUUGAUUACAAAAGAAAUUGAUUCAAAAAUAUUACAAUUUGAAUGUAUAAAGCAUUUAUAAGUUUUAAAAUAUAUGCUAGCUUAAGUGACAAUCCUCAAUAAAGAAGCUAAAGACGGGAUAUACUUAUAGAAGAAGGCCGAGCCCACCGGCACUUAGCACCAUCCACAAUAGAACAAAAUUAUAACCUGAAAAACAACAGGGAAUAAAACCCUGAGUACGCAAUUACUCAGCAAGACUUACCCGACUAAAGAAAAGACUCUCAAGGGUAUGCUGGUUUGUUGGGAAUCAAGGUAAAGCUCAUCAAAUUUCAAAGACACAUUUUCGCAGAAAAGCUUACUAGUAGUGGAUCCUUAUGCCAAACUUUUACUUCACAAAUUAAGUAUUUUUCCUUAAUCUAGAUUUGCCUAAUCUAGAGCAUUCACUUGUCCUACACUAGCUUUAUUUUAGCAGCUUUAGUUUCACUUGUUAUCUACGAUGAGGGUCGAAGAUCCAGUCUUCAUAUCCGAGAAGUUCGGCGAUCCGAAUCGAUUAAUACCCAGCUGGGGAUCUCCAACCACACGACAUAUGUAGCACUUAACCAUUGCAUAUGUCAACUCGCCACCGGGUUUCUCAAGACCAGAACGGGUUCACGCGACCCGAGAGCACAGCACUCCACCGCCCAGCCGUUGGCCUGGUUGGUACACGUUACUCUCGCCAUGGUGCCCGCCAUGUUUCCGAGAGUACAGCACCCCACCUUCCAGUCUCUUGCCACGGAGGGUACAAGCUACUCUCGCCAUCUCUCCACUCCCAGUGCGUGCGAGCUGUUCUGGUAUUGGUCCGACCGAGGCAAAGCUUACCCAUGAUGAGGCAUGUGGCCAGUUAAAGGGUCCUAGAUCAGCAGGCCAACAAUCGGAACGGUCCUUAAGCGACACAGACGGGCGACCUUUCCUGCUCAACGUCUGGUCUCAUCUUAUUAUUUAACACCCAAACCAUAUACCUGACAGAGGUACUAUACUUGAAUGAUGAAUUCAUCACUGCAGAUGAUGCGCUCACCAUUACAAGUCCAUUUUCAUAAAACAAACCCAUACCCAGUGUCACACAUCAUUCUUUUAAAAAGAAACAAGUUUUAAUUCUCUAGGCAGGGCUAAGCCUCAUUAGUUCUUUUUGUAAAACAGGUAUCAAGGAGGAUAAUCAAAUUCCAAGGAAUGGCAAUGCAUCAACUGUUUCAUCACUCAACUCCUAUCACCUAAUGCAGCAUAUAAGUGAUAAAAGUUUUAAAACAACAAGGAGGUGGCAAAUGCACCGGGGCUUGCCUGGGAUAAACACUACGUUAGUGUUGUUAAAUGAUGACCACUUGGUGAGCAUCUUCCGUCCCGGCACUUGGUUGAUUCAUCCACUUUAGCUCCGUCCAUUAGCAUCGUCUUGUGAUUAAUCCAUCUCUUGUCCUCCAUAUCACGUGAUCAAUUAGUGUACCUAAAUGAUAUGCAUAAUGCACAUGUAUGAACAUAGGAAGGAAUAAUAAGACUAAACAAUGUCACAAGGAAGAAAACUCAAUAUUACAGGCAAGAUCUCACCAACAUACAUAAUCAAACAUGAGAGAAAAUCUACACAAUCAUGAUCCUCGAGUUAAUCGAACCUAAUUCAAACAUUAGGCAACAUAACUAAACACAAGCCUUAGGCUAAAGCAUAACAUCGAUAGGUUACUACUUGUAGACUUAUCAAUUUCGGAUACUUAAUUUAGGUUUAUGAAUAGAAGUAUUUCAACUAGUUCUUAGAACUACUAAUCUAACCUAUUAGGCAUAACACAUCAACCAAACAAAUUAUUACAAUCAUUCGAUCAAGCAAGUAAACAUUAUCAAGAUCAUAGACAUUUGUAAGACUAUAAGCAAUAAAGGGUAACAUCACGGAUAGACGAGAGAAGUGAUAAAUUUUACUACUUGCAUUACUAUUUCAUUAUGCACAUACAAGGCCUAAAUAGUCACUACUCAAAUACAUUCACCAAGGCAUUUACUUCCUUCUCCAAAAUGCUAAAGUCUAAAGCAAGCAUUAAGAAAGAAAAGAAACAACCAUUUGCCACUACAAGACUUCAUUAAUCAAGACAAGAACUAACCAAAUAUAAGUAUCCUCACAAAAGAAACUCCAAGUAAUCAUUUCAUAUUUGCUGAAUUUGUACAGCAGAACAGCAGCUAGUUGUUUUAUUCAUAACUUACACAAUAUUCAUCAAAAAAUAAUAAACUAAGACUUUUUGGAAAGCUUAUAAAGUCCUCUACAAUUUUGGUAUUAUCAUCACAAUGAGAUUCGACAUAUAGAAAUGUCAAACAGUACUAAACGCAAUUUCUGUCCAGAUUUGGACAGAAUUCGGCCACUCACUUUAAAAUUCCAUAACUGGAGUUUCAGACAUCCAAAUCAGGUGAUCCUAGACUUUUUAGAAAGCUAAUAGAAUUGUCUACAAUUCAUUUAUAAUCAUCUCAAGGUGAUUCAAUGUGUAUCGAAGUCAGUUAAUACAAACAAACAUUACUGAUCAGAUUUGUACAGAUUCAGAGAUACUAACUCAAACAGCUGUAACUUAAUUUAUAAAUCACCAAAAAGGGUGAUCCAAAAUCUGUUGGAAAUCUUAAGAAAAGUAUUACAAUUCUUCUAUUAUUACUAAGGGCUGAUUCUAAGUUUAAUUUAGUCAAACAAAGCAAUUUUCGAAAUCAGUACAGAAUCUGGACAGAUUCUGAAACUGGACUUAGGAAAAUCAUAACUUCUAAACUGCUAAGUCUAUGGUCAUGAAAUUUUUACACAAGCAAGAUAAAGAAGUGAGCUACAACUUUCCUAUAUAACAUGUCUACAGAAAACAUGGUUUGCUUUGUUAAAUUAGCUGCGCAAUUAAAAUUGUACCUAUAGCUCUAAACAGUAAUAUAUUCAAUUUAGCUCCUAUUUGGCUUCUACAACUGUCAUGUGCUUAGUACUUCAAAUACUACUAACACCUUAUCUUAAAGUAGACUUAAAAACCAUCUAAUAUAACACAGCAUACAUAUUACCAAUUAGAUGAGCUAAAAGGACCAUAACUACUUGAAUAACCCACUAGAGCCCUAACGUGUGGAAAUUUGGCAAUUUACCCUCCCCCCUUGACAUGUUCAUUUACCAACUAUCGCGCAUAUGGACAACGAUGGAUCUGAAAGUCGACACACAAUAUGCUUACACUACAGACAAGAAAAUCAUCGGCCACAACUCUAAUCAAUACAACAAUCAAAUUAACUAAAUAGAGUAGCGAAAUGGCUCGCCACAUCACAAUUCAACUCAACUCAAUAUUCACACGAACGACGAUAGCCUUUUGAUUGAAGUUUUCUAUCGAACCUCUUGCAAGUGAUGUGCACAAACCUUUUCUUCAUCACCCAAACCCUGGGGUUCCUCUCCCCAAAACGCUAAGGAUUUCAGUCCACAUCAAACACAGAAACUCAUAUAUGGUUAAUAUAAAGAUGUAGGUACCAAGUCAUGAACAGCAAGCCUCACCGAUGAGGAACACAAUAUGUGGACUGCAUACCAGACUGGCGGGGUCGCGGAUGAGAAACGACGACAAUUUCUUGGUUCUCCCAUUUCGUCGAACACCUAGAGCACCGAACGGGAUGGACAUCGUCACUGUUAGGGCUACACAGACACGGCGAGCUGCAGGGACACAAAAACUUGGGCACCGAGAACCAAACUUGAGGAAAGGGAAGGGGAAAACAGCACCUGCGAUGGGGGUGAUUUCUUAGGCGAGCUCGCCAUGGGAAGAAAACUAGGCGCCAUGGAAGAGGCUCCUGCAGGGACGACGGCCGACGCGCAGCACGCAGGGGCACGACGGGGUUCACUGAAAGCCGGUUAAGGAGGGCUCUGGAAUUCCAACAGAGACAGGGUUAUGGCACGUGGUUGCACUGCUAUCUUCCACCCAUGAUCCAUGAAUAGAGGGACACGGUGUGGUGGUUUAAUGUGGCUUUGACAGCAAAUCACAAGCAGCUGUGUCACCACCUUCUAGAUAGGUUUCAAGUCUGCCACAUUUCCUCCCCUUGGACAGUAAAAAUAUCCAACGUGACCCCCCUUUUUACCAGAACGAAAUUCUUAUUGUUUUGCACUUAUCCAAAGUCAUCUGGAAACAGCUAGUGGAUGCAGAUCUUUUUCCUGAGAUAUUUUCAAACUGCCUGAUCUAGUUCAGUCGACAGCAACAACCACCUUGUCCCCUCCGUUUCUCCAAUUUCUUUAUAAUGACAGAGCUACCUCUCCACAUCAAAUUUAUUCCCUGAACAUUGGUCUUUUAAUUUGUUGUAGACUUUCAGAGUCAAUACCUUACAGGUUUCGAGUUAUAGAUCUCCAAAGUGAGGCAGAUCACACAGAAACCACAUUGCAGUUUUCUGAAACUGAACCCAGAAAUUGCAGACUGUUAAGGCAACUUUAAGGGUACUUAACUAUUUAUUUUAUAUGGUACCAAGUUAAUCAUUGUUAAGUAAACUUGUACACCAAUAUGUACUCUUCAACUUUUCUAUAAAGAUCCCAGUCCAAAACUGUCCAGAACAGUCACCAUAUAGCUCCAAAUUUAAACCAAACACUAGAAUUCAGAUCUGUUCACUCUUCCUUAUCUGAAAAAUUAAGGACGUCUGACAGCCUAUCUUUAGGGGUCAGUAACUCCACUUUUUAUGUAGUACUGAGUCCAUCUCCCUUCAACAAAGUUGCACAUUCAUAGAUCCUCUACCAUUUUGAUAUAAUGGUCCUAAGCUAAAACCCAAUGGACUGAAUAAUAAAAGGGCUUCAAAGUUGGCUUAGGCAUAAAAGUUCAGAACCCAGAAAUAUCACUAAGUCUGAAAAUUCAGAUUUGAGGAUAGGACUUUUGGGUCAAGUUCUCUAAUAGUUCCAUAUGGACUUAGGGCUUCAACACUUAAUAAAAGUUGUUCUCCUAUAGUUACUCUACAAUUUUACUAUAGCAACCUUUUGCUAAAAGCCCACAGAUUUUUUAAAAAAAUACAGGGAUCUAAAAUAGAUAAACCAAACUAUUUUUAGUUGAACCAAAACUAAGAUCUAAACGAGGUAUAACUGAAAACUCUAGAAGAUAAGCACAACAACAGCCCGCGAGCCCAAGAACCACCACGACGCUAACAUGCCGGACACGCGGCAGUGGAGUGACGGAAGGCACGACACGUGGUGAGGAGUUGGAGCGGUGGCCGAUUCAGAUAAACGAAAGGGAUAACGGCAGGGAGAUAAGAUGCGUCUGCGAAACUUCACAGAAACGAUGUUACGUGUCGCAAAUCGUAGGCAAGAAGUUAUGCACAGCCGCCCACAGAUUUGCACACGCCACGCGUGUCACGAUGUCUGGCCACAGAUAGACAUGUGCAACGCAAGCAUGAAAGAAUUUCAAACGAAUUUUAAGGAGCUACAUUUGAUUUCAAAAAUUAUAGUUUAGGUAAGACGUCGAUGGCUCAACCCAAACAAUAUUGGAUUCAAUAUUUCGGAAGAUUACUAAAGUCAGGAUUUUUACAAAAUAAAUUAGGACAAUUUAAACAGAUGGAGACAAACACGAUAUCAAAAUCGUGAUAGACAAAGAUGAUUAAAAUGUAGUGUCCACUUACAUUCACAGCUAUCACGUGUUAACGUCCACACUCGUGGUCGAGUAGACGAUAAACACCUGGGGUGUUACAGCCUUCCCCCCUUAAAAGAAUCUCGUCCCGAGAUUCAGAACGAAAGACUUCUAAGAGUAGAGAGGCGUAUAACCCUGUCCAUAAUAGUGAUAGCAUAAACUAAUUCCAAGCAAAGACGAGCAUCUCAAAAUGUUGCUUCUCUAGUGGGUAUAGCACAUACCACUUUAGUUUGACUAGAGACGUCAACAAACAAGCUAUAACUGACAGAAAACACAUAAGGUUCCAUGUGUGCAGUUUUCUUUUUCUAAUGACACUGUACUAUCUGGGUCUGUUGAGAACGGUGGACAAAUGGAUAGCAAUUACACAAACCAUGAAAGAUGCAACCUCUUGGGUAAAACACACAGAAAGAGGUUUACCAACAAGUGGUCAUUGGAAAUUCCUAGCACAUAAGACGAGGAUGAAUGUCGAAUAACAUCACAGUUAACUCGUGGUUAGCCAGGGAAUCCAAGUUUAAGGAAGAUGAUAAAAGUUUGAGAAAAUAUCAAUGUAGUGAUCCUCAAGGAGAGGCAAAUUGGAACAGGAAUACCAGCUUGCACCAACCGAACAAGGGUAUGGUUUAGGAUGAACAUUUGACCAUAAGAGAGCUACAAGUGGAUUGUCAAGAUUACAGACUCGAGAUCCUUGUUUUUAAGUUUGAGUGCAUCUCCAACAAGGGGAUUACUGAAACAUCUAUUUGCACGAGUUUGGCCAUGGAGUUGGAAGAUUUAGAGAGGCUUUGAAGAAAUGACAAAAUUAUGAAUUAGAUCUCAUACAAUUUCAAAUGUUGAGAUGAUGAGGACAUGACUUGGUCUAAUUGCUAGAACUCCAAUAAUCUUGUGAAGAAAAUGAUCUUCACACAAGACGACAUCUAGGAUAGGUUGUCAAGAAAUUAAUAUAAAGUUAGAUUAAGGUUCACUAAACAGGGACAUGACCUAGCUUUGGGUUUAUGCAAACAAACUACCUGCAUUCUACCAGCACACAAGCACGAAAACAAACCCAAGUUGCACUAGCGGUCAAACUAAGAAGAAUCACAUGCCACAUAAACACAUGUCUAAAGGACGCAACAAACAAAGCUAGAAAUUGCUUAUAAAACAGUAAUACUUCAUACAGUUUCCAAUUAUUUAUUGUCGGAAUAAAGAUGAGAAAAGCAUGUUCCUUCACAAUCACCUAUUAUUAGAAUAAAAACAAUCACCUAUUAUUAGAAUAAAGGUGAGGGAAGCAUUUCUUGCGCAAACAACAAACACAAUGCAACAAUCAGGAUGCAUGCUCGUCCUAUUCGUCCUCACGAAUUUCACCAACAUAAUGUGGCAAUAGCGUUCUAUAUCGGUGGCAUAAUUACGUCUCUCUCGAUAUAUUGCUAGUCGUCAGCUACACAUACGAGUUCGAAGUUAGUGUACCUGCAGAAAAAUCCAUCACAGCCCAAUUCCCAAUGAUGCAAUUCACACAUGACAGUUUAUCACAGUUUAUACUCCAUAUAUUGCUAUAUGGAGGCCAGCUCCUCAUUAAGCGCCGAGCCACGCAUAGGCGCCGCUGCCACACUUUAACCAUAGGGCAGCUCAUUAUGGUAACUCACCUUCUUACCUGAGCAUAGGUGCGUCGUUGCAAAUACAUUACACUUCUCGGUAUUCCCAUGUCUGUAUACCCAUACACAUCCAUGGGGUACCGAUUCCCGGAAAAGUAAAUACUCCACAUCGCAGCCUUCAUAUAUACAUAUGUGUAACAUGUAUAUAAUCAAGCGCUUUUUAUACUCUUCCCUAGACCGACGUUUGUUCGGUCAUACUCUCACAUCUCACCUUACCUGAGCGUCGAUCCAUUCAAAACUGAAUGGCCUCAAAAAUAACAUUACACAUGUAUGCAUUACCCUUCCCAGGUUGUGGGUUAAUAUUCUGAACUAAGCCACCUAGUAGUCCUUAAUUUAGGGCUUAAUAGAGGAUGUCGCUAGCAUUAUAGUUUUUUCAAAACUGUUUUUCAAAACCAAACAAUGUGUUUAGUUGAAAAUAGGUUUUCGAAACCAAAACUUUAUUUUAAAAAUAUGUAUGUGACCGUAUAUACUUAAUUCAGCUCCGAUACCAGCUGUCGCAGAACCUCCCAAGUUAUCAGGCCCACAUGCACCUGUCCUCGUUCCAAGGACCUCAAACGACUAUGCAUGUGCACCAAAUAACUUAACAGGAUCUGUCCGAGUGCCCCAAGGACCCCGGAUAAACGACUUACCGCCAAGAUCGCAAGAUUAAGUAAACACAAAUCACACACCAACAUUUGCAGCGGAAAUUUUUUAUUACAAAAUGGUUACAAGUUACAACAUUUACAAGUUAUAACAAGAUUACAAUAUAUAUCAUCGAAGUUGAUUACAAUAGAAAUUGAUUCAAAAAGAUUACAAUUUGAAUGUAUAAAGCAUUUAUAAGUUUUAAAAUAUAUGCUAGCUUAAGUGACAAUCCUCAAUAAAGAAGCUAAAGACGGGAUAUACUUAUAGAAGAAGGCCGAGCCCACCGGCACUUAGCACCAUCCACAAUAGAACAAAAUUAUAACCUGAAAAACAACAGGGAAUAAAACCCUGAGUACGCAAUUACUCAGCAAGACUUACCCGACUAAAGAAAAGACUCUCAAGGGUAUGCUGGUUUGUUGGGAAUCAAGGUAAAGCUCAUCAAAUUUCAAAGACACAUUUUCGCAGAAAAGCUUACUAGUAGUGGAUCCUUAUGCCAAACUUUUACUUCACAAAUUAAGUAUUUUUCCUUAAUCUAGAUUUGCCUAAUCUAGAGCAUUCACUUGUUCUACACUAGCUUUAUUUUAGCAGCUUUAGUUUCACUUGUUAUCUACGAUGAGGGUCGAAGAUCCAGUCUUCAUAUCCGAGAAGUUCGGCGAUCCGAAUCGAUUAAUACCCAGCUAGGGAUCUCCAACCACACGACAUAUGUAGCACUUAACCCUUGCAUAUGUCAACUCGCCACCGAGUUUCUCAAGACCAGAAUGGGUUCACGCGACCCGAGAGCACAGCACUCCACCGUCCAGCCGUUGGCCUGGUUGGUACACGUUACUCUCGCCAUGGUGCCCGCCAUGUUUCCGAGAGUACAGCACCCCACCUUCCAGUCUCUUGCCACGGAGGGUACAAGCUACUCUCGUCAUCUCUCCACUCCCAGUGCGUGCGAGCUGUUCUAGUAUUGGUCCGACCGAGGCAAAGCUUACCCAUGAUGAGGCAUGUGGCCAGUUAAAGGGUCCUAGAUCAGCAGGCCAACAAUCGGAAUGGUCCUUAAGCGACACAGACGGGCGACCUUUCCUGCUCAACGUCUGGUCUCAUCUUAUUAUUUAACACCCAAACCAUAUACCUGACAGAGGUACUAUACUUGAAUGAUGAAUUCAUCACUACAGAUGAUGCGCUCACCAUUACAAGUCCAUUUUCAUAAAACAAACCCAUACCCAGUGUCACACAUCAUUCUUUUAAAAAGAAACAAGUUUUAAUUCUCUAGGCAGGGCUAAGCCUCAUUAGUUCUUUUUGUAAAACAGGUAUCAAGGAGGAUAAUCAAAUUCCAAGGAAUGGCAAUGCAUCAACUGUUUCAUCACUCAACUCCUAUCACCUAAUGCAGCAUAUAAGUGAUAAAAGUUUUAAAACAACAAGGAGGUGGCAAAUGCACCGGGGCUUGCCUGGGAUAAACACUACGUUAGUGUUGUUAAAUGAUGACCACUUUGUGAGCAUCUUCCGUCUCGGCACUUGGUUGAUUCAUCCACUUUAGCUCCGUCCAUUAGCAUCGUCUUGUGAUUAAUCCAUCUCUUGUCCUCCAUAUCACGUGAUCAAUUAGCGUACCUAAAUGAUAUGCAUAAUGCACAUAUAUGAACAUAGGAAGGAAUAAUAAGACUAAACAAUGUCACAAGGAAGAAAACUCAAUAUUACAGGCAAGAUCUCACCAACAUACAUAAUCAAACAUGAGAGAAAAUCUACACAAUCAUGAUCCUCGAGUUAAUCGAACCUAAUUCAAACAUUAGGCAACAUAACUAAACACAAGCCUUAGGCUAAAGCAUAACAUCGAUAGGUUACUACUUGUAGACUUAUCAAUUUCGGAUACUUAAUUUAGGUUUAUGAAUAGAAGUAUUUCAACUAGUUCUUAGAACUACUAAUCUAACCUAUUAGGCAUAACACAUCAACCAAACAAAUUAUUACAAUCAUUCGAUCAAGCAAGUAAACAUUAUCAAGAUCAUAGACAUUUGUAAGACUAUAAGCAAUAAAGGGUAACAUCACGGAUAGACGAGAGAAGUGAUAAAUUUUACUACUUGCAUUACUAUUUCAUUAUGCACAUACAAGGCCUAAAUUGUCACUACUCAAAUACAUUCACCAAGGCAUUUACUUCCUUCUCCAAAAUGCUAAAGUCUAAAGCAAGCAUUAAGAAAGAAAAGAAACAACCAUUUGCCACUACAAGACUUCAUUAAUCAAGACAAGAACUAACCAAAUAUAAGUAUCCUCACAAAAGAAACUCCAAGUAAUCAUUUCAUAUUUGCUGAAUUUGUACAGCAGAACAGCAGCUAGUUGUUUUAUUUAUAACUUACACAAUAUUCAUCAAAAAAUAGUAAACUAAGACUUUUUGGAAAGCUUAUAAAGUCCUCUACAAUUUUGGUAUUAUCAUCACAAUGAGAUUCGACAUAUAGAAAUGUCAAACAGUACUAAACGCAAUUUCUGUCCAGAUUUGGACAGAAUUCGGCCACUCACUUUAAAAUUCCAUAACUGGAGUUUCAGACAUCCAAAUCAGGUGAUCCUAGAAUUUUUAGAAAGCUAAUAGAAUUGUCUACAAUUCAUUUAUAAUCAUCUCAAGGUGAUUAAAUGUGUAUCGAAAUCAGUUAAUACAAACAAACAUUGCUGUCCAGAUUUGUACAGAUUCAGAGAUACUAACUCAAACAGCUGUAACUUAAUUUAUAGAUCACCAAAAAGGGUGAUCCAAAAUCUGUUGGAAAUCUUAAGAAAAGUAUUACAAUUCUUCUAUAAUUACUAAGGGCUGAUUAUAAGUUUAAUUUAGUCAAACAAAGCAAUUUUCGAAAUCAGUACAGAAUCUGGACAGAUUCUGAAACUGGACUUGGGAAAAUCAUAACUUCUAAACUGCUAAGUCUAUGGUCAUGAAAUUUUUACACAAGCAAGAUAAAGAAGUGAGUGUCAUGUGGGGCCUCCCCUAUAACCGUCGGAGGCGCGCAAGAGACGGGAGGCGCGCUGCAGAAAGAGCAGCAGCCAGUGCCACGUCAGCAGCAGAAAAGGAAAGCCAAGAAAUCAGUGGCUAGAAGAAGGAAAGAAUCAAAGGACAUGCAGCCGCCACCUCUAUAGAAGGAAGGGCGGCUAGAAGAAGAAAUAAAUUAGUAGAGAUCCUAAAUCAUAGAGAUCAGUUUCCUUUUAGUAGAGAUCCUAAAUCAGAAGGAUUAGUUUCCCCUUUCUGUUACACCGUAGGCUAUAAAGCCUUGUAGCUGGCUCCUUUGAGGGACAAGCAAUAACACAGUUAUUUCCUCCAUUCUCCCUACCACUCUCAAGCCUUCGGAAGAGGGGUAAAACCUCUCCGGAGAAGACGGACCGGGGGUACGACCUACGUAGCCGAGGGCCCCCUUCCCUAGACUCUAAGGCCCUUGACAGUGAGCUACAACUUUCCUAUAUAACAUGUCUACAGAAAACAUGGUUUGCUUUGUUAAAUUAGCUGCGCAAUUAAAAUUGUACCUAUAGCUCUAAACAGUAAUAUAUUCAAUUUAGCUCCUAUUCGGCUUCUACAACUGUCAUGUGCUUAGUACUUCAAAUACUACUAACACCUUAUCUUAAAGUAGACUUAAAAACCAUCUAAUAUAACACAGCAUACAUAUUACCAAUUAGAUGAGCUAAAAGGACCAUAACUACUUGAAUAACCCACUAGAGCCCUAACGUGUGGAAAUUUGGCAAUUUACCCUCCCCCUUGACAUGUUCAUUUACCAACUAUCGCGCAUAUGGACAACGAUGGAUCUGAAAGUCGACACACAAUAUGCUUACACUACAGACAAGAAAAUCAUCGGCCACAACUCUAAUCAAUACAACAAUCAAAUUAACUAAAUAGAGUAGCGAAAAGGCUCGCCACAUCACAAUUCACCUCAACUCAAUAUUCGCACGAACGACGAUAGCCUUUUGAUUGAAGUUUUCUAUCGAACCUCUUGCAAGUGAUGCGCACAAACCUUUUCUUCAUCACCCAAAUCCUGGGGUUCCUCUCCCCAAAACGCUAAGGAUUUCAGUCCACAUCAAACACAGAAACUCAUAUAUGGUUAAUAUAAAGAUGUAGGUACCAAGUCAUGAACAUCAAGCCUCACCGAUGAGGAACACAAUAUGUGGACUGCAUACAAGACUGGCGGGGUCGCGGAUGAGAAACGACGACAAUUUCAUGGUUCUCCCAUUUCGUCGAACACCUAGAGCACCGAACGGGAUGGACAUCGUCACUGUCGGGGCUGCGCAGACACGGCGAGCUGCAGGGACACAAAAACUUGGGCACCGAGAACCAAACUUGAGGAAAGGGAAGGGGAAAACAGCACCUGCGAUGGGGGUGAUUUCUUGGGCGAGCUCGCCAUGGGAAGAAAACUAGGCGCCAUGGAAGAGGCUCCUGCAGGGACGACGGCCGACGCGCAGCACGCAGGGGCACGACGGGGUUCACUGAAAGCCGGUUAAGGAGGGCUCUGGAAUUCCAACAGAGACAAGGUUAUGGCACGUGGUUGCACUGCUAUCUUCCACCCAUGAUCCAUGAAUAGAGGGACACGGUGUGGUGGUUUAAUGUGGCUUUGACAGCAAAUCACAAGCAGCUGUGUCACCACCUUCUAGAUAGGUUUCAAGUCUGCCACAUUUCCUCCCCUUGGACAGUAAAAAUAUCCAACGUGACCCCCCCCCCCCUUUUUACCAGAACGAAAUUCUUAUUGUUUUGCACUUAUCCAAAGUC